This 274-nucleotide ribosomal RNA is filed under the name uncultured bacterium. RNAcentral's name for it is "partial 16S ribosomal RNA". It matches the Rfam family "Bacterial small subunit ribosomal RNA", at positions 523 to 796 of the family's 1533-position model. The record is from RNAcentral.
AUACGAACCGGACAAACGUUAUUCGGAAUUAUUGGGCUUAAAGGGUGCGUAGGCGGCGCGGUAAGUGAGGUGUGAAAGCCCACGGCUCAACCGUGGAAUUGCGCGUCAUACUGCCGUGCUAGAGGGAGACAGAGGUAAGCGGAACUGAUGGUGGAGCGGUGAAAUGCGUUGAUAUUAUCAGGAACACCGGUGGCGAAAGCGGCUUACUGGGUCUCUUCUGACGCUGAGGCACGAAAGCUAGGGUAGCGAACGGGAUUAGAAACCCGAGUAGUCC